CAGUGACACUCCCACCUGAAACUCUUGAUAUCAACAUAAAUUCAAACUGUCAUUUAUUCAUGUGCUCCCAUCUUCUACAACAUGGACAUUUUCAUAUAUUGUCACCUCACUUUUUUGGUAUUUCUGCUUUGGAUCAAAGGUCUAAUUGAUGCCAAGGAUGUCACACAAACUCUCAUGCUGUGGGAACAACGGGGUAAUAAUGCAACAAUGGACUGCAGCCAUACCAAGGGUCCUACCUAUUAUCAGAUGUACUGGUACAGACAGCUGCCAGGAGAAAAUAUGGAACUGAUUGUGUUCACAACAACAGCCAAAAAAUAUGAUCACGACUUUGGAAAAUUCAGCAAAGAGAAAUACUCAGCCACAAAGACUGAGGCUCACGAUGGGACAUUUACAGUGAAGGACCUGGAGCCAAAAGACAGCGGCUGGUAUUUCUGUGCCGUCAGUGAGCACAGUGAUACAGACUCAUGUGAAAGCUGAACAAAAACCCCACUGAAUGGUUGGCACAAGUGUUGCAAUUAUUCCCUGUACUG
Molecule: non-coding RNA, 530 nt
Organism: Haplochromis burtoni (Burton's mouthbrooder)
Lineage: Eukaryota; Metazoa; Chordata; Actinopteri; Cichliformes; Cichlidae
Source: the annotation of a RefSeq genome assembly